This 227-nucleotide unclassified non-coding RNA is filed under the name uncultured fungus. RNAcentral's name for it is "sequence contains ITS1, 5.8S rRNA gene". The stretch from base 179 to 227 matches the Rfam family "5.8S ribosomal RNA", at positions 1 to 49 of the family's 154-position model. The record is from RNAcentral. Lineage: Eukaryota; Fungi.
UCUCCGUAGGUGAACCUGCGGAGGGAUCAUUACUGAGUGAGGGCCUUCGGGCUCGACCUCCAACCCUUUGUGAACACAACUUGUUGCUUCGGGGGCGACCCUGCCGUUUCGUCGCCGGGCGCCCCCGAAGGUCUCCAAACACUGCAUCUUUGCGUCGGAGUUUAAGUAAAUUAAACAAAACUUUCGGCAACGGAUCUCUUGGUUCUGGCAUCGAUGAAGAACGCAGC